UACUCCAGUCAUUUCGCCUUU
Molecule: non-coding RNA, 21 nt
Filed under: Caenorhabditis elegans
Lineage: Eukaryota; Metazoa; Nematoda; Chromadorea; Rhabditida; Rhabditidae
Source: RNAcentral